Long non-coding RNA from Daktulosphaira vitifoliae (grape phylloxera), 559 nucleotides. RefSeq lists it as uncharacterized. Lineage: Eukaryota; Metazoa; Arthropoda; Insecta; Hemiptera; Phylloxeridae. The record is from RefSeq and is a predicted model, not a curated record. The transcript has 3 exons.
AAUUAUUCCAAGAAAAAAAAGACAUUGGUCGCAUAAAAGUAAAACAACACUAGAAGAUAUACGUACGCGGAUAGCUAUUAACAAUAAACAAUGUAGUGGUUGAAGUACACAAGCAGCGCGCGAUUGUCACUGCCUGGAGAUUUUGAAAAAUAAUAUUUUCAAGCCAACUUAUUUAAUAUAAUGCGGCACGUGUAGAGUUCAUUGCACGAGAUUUCAUAAUGUUUCAAAAUGAUAUGUACAUGAAAUAUCGUCAGUAAUGUAAAUAAUGCAAGAGUUGUCAAAGGGUUGGUUGUUUUUUCAAUAUCUCACUGCCAGCGAAGGCAAUUGUACCGGUGUUUAUGAAUUUCGGCGAAAAUCCAAUAUGAUACAAUGAUGUGUAGCCAGUUAAUAAAAUGGAAUCGGCUGCUGACAGAUAGUAACGGCAAGUGUUUGAUCGCAGGCCAAACGCCUAAUGAGUUUGACAGCACUCUCUGCAGCAAUGAAACUUUGUUUUGUGCCACAGACACGGUUUGCUGAAUAUAAAUGAAAUUUUAAUGUUAAAUAUUUAAUUUUUAGCUCA